CAAAGAUGAGUCAUGAAAGGAAAACUAGUACUAUACUAGUCAAUUCUAAAAUAAUCACCAGCUCGACAGCUGUUGAUGAAACUUUCCCUAGAAAUACACUGCAUUAAAUCAUCUGUUGGUGUUUUUUCGGUCGAUUUAAGGUCCGGUUUAGACGACGAGCGUUUCUUUAGAGAUCUCAAAUAAAAUGUGUUCAACAGUGCAGACUUGAAACAGCACUCAGGGUGUGGUGAUAAAGAAUUUUCAUAUCCUAUAACCUUUGGUUAACCUUAUCUCGGUUUACUGUAUUAUCAUGAGGUUAAGUUUAAAUUGAACUGUUAUAGUUGGGUGAACUAUAUUUAAAUAUAUAAGAGUGGCAUAGCUCCAGCUCAGUAGUCACAAGGUCAGUACUGAGCUUGCAUUACAGUCUGCAUGUUCGUUCCAUGUCUGCGUAGGUUUCCUCCAGGUUCUCCAGUUUCCUCCCUCAACCAGACCAGUAGGUGGAUUCUGAAUGAAAAUCAAACUUCGAUUGCCAUAGUGUGUGAAUGUAUGCAUGCAGGAUGCUCUGUGAUGGACUGGCAUCCCAUCCAGGGUGUGUCCAAUCCCCCCCUCACCCCCCUGAUCCGGAUCCAGUGCGUACUGACUUGGAUAAACAGGUUACUGAGGAUCAAUGAAUGACUGAAUGAACAUUUUAACCGAAAAAAAAGUCCUUUCCCCAGGUUCAUAGAAGUCCCAGUAGUUUGGGGGAAGUAGUGGCUCAGUGAUUAAGGCUUUGGCCUGUUGAUCAGAAAGUCAUGAGUUCAAAGCCUAGUACUGCCAAGCUGGCACAGUGGGAAAUUUUUAGGAGAAACGACAGCGUGUCAUGUAACCGAUUAUCGGCACAUGCCUAAGCAGCAAAGGUUUUUGUCCUUUGUAACUCUGAUUUGCCUGUCUCAUGUUUAAUCCUGUCCUUUGCUCAAAUAGUUGGAGUGAAGACCUCAGGUCUGAAUACUAGCACAAUUCUGGAGAAUCAUGCUGCGUAUAAAUACUGCGUAUGAAUUACUGGCACAAUCUGAAUUCUUUGUUUCCUCAUUGAAGUGUUGAAUCUAAAAUGCCUCCACGCACCUGAACUGACGUUUGCAUUACAAUGCUAAUUACUGUCCUGAACUGUACAUAGAGGUUUCUGCAUUGUAAAUGCAUUAGGU
Molecule: long non-coding RNA, 1160 nt
Organism: Ictalurus punctatus (channel catfish)
Lineage: Eukaryota; Metazoa; Chordata; Actinopteri; Siluriformes; Ictaluridae
Source: Ensembl